AAUGAGGUGGCCGAAAUUUGAAGGUAUUAGACUGUAAAUCUAAAGGUGGGCGUAGGGCCCUUUCAUUA
RNAcentral lists this transfer RNA (68 nucleotides) under Coenobita rugosus. RNAcentral describes it as "tRNA-Tyr". It matches the Rfam family "tRNA". From Rfam's summary of the family: Transfer RNA (tRNA) molecules are approximately 80 nucleotides in length. Their secondary structure includes four short double-helical elements and three loops (D, anti-codon, and T loops). The record is from RNAcentral. Lineage: Eukaryota; Metazoa; Arthropoda; Malacostraca; Decapoda; Coenobitidae.